Molecule: ribosomal RNA, 253 nt
Filed under: uncultured bacterium
Lineage: Bacteria
Description: partial 16S ribosomal RNA
Rfam family: Bacterial small subunit ribosomal RNA
Source: RNAcentral
UACGUGGGGCGCGAGCGUUGUCCGGAAUUAUUGGGCGUAAAGAGCUCGUAGGCGGCUUGUUGCGUCUGCUGUGAAAUCCCGGGGCUUAACCCCGGGCGUGCAGUGGAUACGGGCAGGCUGGAGGCAGGCAGGGGAGAAUGGAAUUCCCGGUGUAGCGGUGAAAUGCGCAGAUAUCGGGAGGAACACCGGUGGCGAAGGCGGUUCUCUGGGCCUGUUCUGACGCUGAGGAGCGAAAGCGUGGGGAGCAAACAGG